GCCUGGGUGGCACAGUGGUUGAGCGUCUGCCUUUGGCUCAGGGCGUGAUCUGGCGUUGUGGGAUCGAGCCCCACAUCAGGCU
This 82-nucleotide transfer RNA is filed under the name Ailuropoda melanoleuca (giant panda). It matches the Rfam family "tRNA". Rfam says of the family: Transfer RNA (tRNA) molecules are approximately 80 nucleotides in length. Their secondary structure includes four short double-helical elements and three loops (D, anti-codon, and T loops). Further hydrogen bonds mediate the characteristic L-shaped molecular structure. tRNAs have two regions of fundamental functional importance: the anti-codon, which is responsible for specific mRNA codon recognition, and the 3' end, to which the tRNAs corresponding amino acid is attached (by aminoacyl-tRNA synthetases). tRNAs cope with the degeneracy of the genetic code in two manners: having more than one tRNA (with a specific anti-codon) for a particular amino acid; and 'wobble' base-pairing, i.e. permitting non-standard base-pairing at the 3rd anti-codon position. The record is from Rfam by way of RNAcentral. Lineage: Eukaryota; Metazoa; Chordata; Mammalia; Carnivora; Ursidae.